UGAAAAUGUCAGGCUGUAGUGGUCUGUGGUGAAAAUGUCAGGUCGUAGUGGUGUAUGGUGAAAAUGUCAGGUCGUAGUGGUCAAGGGUGAAAAUGUCAGGUCGUAGUGGUCAAGGGUGAAAAUGUCAGGUCGUAGUGGUGUAUGGUGAAAAUGUCAGGUCGUAGUGGUCAAGGGUGAAAAUGUCAGGUCGUAGUGGUGUAUGGUGAAAAUGUCAGGUCGUAGUGGUCAAGGGUGAAAAUGUCAUGUCGUAGUGGUCAAGGGUGAAAAUGUCAGGCUGUAGUGGUCUGUGGUGAAAAUGUCAGGCUGUAGUGGUGUAUGGUGAAAAUGUCAGGUCGUAGUGGUCAAGGGUGAAAAUGUCAGGCUGUAGUGGUCUGUGGUGAAAAUGUCAGGUCGUAGUGGUGGGAGUGUUUGAACAGACACAAUUCUAGUGACAAACUGUCUGGAGAUUACAGCCCCACCCGUCAAGCGCGAAAACAACCGUGUUCUUGCAAAGUAAAGAAUGAGGGGAAAAAAAUAAAAUGGCCGAGUGUUGGCUCUGGUAGAGAACGAAACAAACAUCAUGUUCAGGCAUGGUCCUAUAGAGAAGUAGUCAUCUUAAUAAACACUGAAGUGUUCACUACAAUAAACAUGAG
This is a long non-coding RNA of Ictalurus punctatus (channel catfish), 632 nucleotides long. Lineage: Eukaryota; Metazoa; Chordata; Actinopteri; Siluriformes; Ictaluridae. The record is from Ensembl.